CCACUUGAUCAUCGACUUUUGUCACUUUUCGAUUCGAAUAUCUGCGCCUUUCGGUGACAAUCAGAAUCUUUUAGCGAGUAGUUAGAAUGCUGAAGUUGUACACUCAAUAAUAAUUAUGUUCAGGUACGAUUAUCAAAUGCUCAAUUGCUUGCUAAUUUGGUGGACUUCAUGCCAUACUUCAUUUCCCUGCGCAAGACACGUUCGGGACAUAUGUACAGAAUGAUAUGCUCCCAGUUCCGCAGCGAUAUCUCACGGUUGCAACGGCGCCCGCUCCCCUCUUUGGCUGAGCCCGCAAGUGUUUUAUGGACUGGUCGCACACUGAGACCAAAUCACCUCACCGACGUACUCCUCCACAUCGGGAUUAAUGGAGAAAUGCACAAUGGGGGUUGUGCAUUUUUCCACGGAAUAAUUUCCCGUCGGCGAAUCGCGGUUCACAGUGAUGACGCCCGGCACCGGUGCGGAGUCAACACCUUGUUUGGCCACCAAAAAGGCUUGCGGUGUCUUGUGCACCAGCCACAUGGAGGCGUCCACCGUGGAGGUCACUGGCAGAUUGCCGCAGUAGUACCAUUUGUAGUUGUUGGGGCAGAUGUGGUAGAUCGGCGGGAGUAUGUCGGAGGGCUCGCGGAUCUGGUCGUAGCGGAAAGCGGUGUGGUAGCUGGAGAAGACGGUGACGAGGCAGGAGAGCUCCUUUUCCGUGGUGAAGCCCACACGUCCCACGCCGCUGAGACCGGUGUUGAAGAUGGAUUCUACCUGGUCAAAGGUGAUCUGGUAGUUCUCCUUGAAGUUCACCUGGUAUAUGGUGGAUGCGUAGCCGCGGAUGAAGCAGACGAUGUAGACUGUCUGGAAAACGUGCUUACUCAACGUUUGGAUCAAUGGAACUGGAUAUGAGGAUAGUGCUGCUCGGACUCUGCGCGUUAGGAUCGGAGCUGGAUGCCCUCAGCGAUGUCGUUACUCCGCAGCUGGUGUAGUUGCCGUCCUCACCCGGUGGAAAUUUGUACCUGACUGCGCCACUACCGGUUAUCCAUAGCGCGCAAAAACCUGAAUUUGGAUACAACAAAACAAUAUCAAAAUGUGUCUCAGCGUGUGGGCCGUAUCAUGAAAUGUAUUUAACUUGACAUGGGGAUCCUGUUGCGUAAUAAUGUAUUGGAAAUGAACCAAGUGUGUCAAACAGCAACACAACCACCAGCAAAAGAAUCAAGCCAGCUGCAUGUCUCCGGAACUAAACGGUCAAUACCAGCGGUUUCCUCCUAAAGAACUCGGUGUCGCUGGAGAAUGACCGCUAUGGACUAAGGGUCAACAUUCCGUACCCGUAGCCUCUUUACUAUGACAAUUGUUGGCAUUUUUUUCUGGCCUGCGAUAAUUUGACCUAAUCCGAUGCCGAUCAAAAUCGGGAAUGACUGUGUAUGUGUAACUGUACAUUCGCAUAUGUACAGAUUGAUCUAAAACAUUAAUCCAUGCGUUCUAGAUUAACUAUAAAAACACAAUGCUGUGUUGACUCCCGUAAUAAAUUAGG
Long non-coding RNA from Paramacrobiotus metropolitanus, 1513 nucleotides. RefSeq lists it as uncharacterized. The transcript is spliced from 4 exons. Lineage: Eukaryota; Metazoa; Tardigrada; Eutardigrada; Parachela; Macrobiotidae. The record is from RefSeq and is a predicted model, not a curated record.